RNAcentral lists this ribosomal RNA (253 nucleotides) under uncultured bacterium. RNAcentral's name for it is "partial 16S ribosomal RNA". It matches the Rfam family "Bacterial small subunit ribosomal RNA", at positions 524 to 776 of the family's 1533-position model. The record is from RNAcentral.
UACGGAGGGUGCUAGCGUUGUUCGGAAUUACUGGGCGUAAAGCGCGUGUAGGCGGCUAGGCAAGUCGGAUGUGAAAGCCCACGGCUCAACCGUGGAAGCGCAUCCGAAACGGCCUCGCUCGAGUCUCGGAGAGGAAGGUGGAAUGCUUGGUGUAGAGGUGAAAUUCGUAGAUAUCAAGCAGAACACCUGCGGCGAAGGCGGCCUUCUGGACGAUGACUGACGCUGAGACGCGAAAGCGUGGGGAGCAAACAGG